This 65-nucleotide transfer RNA is filed under the name Octolasion lacteum. RNAcentral's name for it is "tRNA-Ala". The record is from RNAcentral. Lineage: Eukaryota; Metazoa; Annelida; Clitellata; Crassiclitellata; Lumbricidae.
AUGCAACUUAGUUUAUCUAGAACAUUCAACUUGCACUUGACAGGAGAGACAUCUCACUCAGUAGC